CGGAGUGUAGCUCAGACUGGUAGAGCACUGCUUUCGGGAGGCAGGGGCCGGAGGUUCAAAUCCUCUCACUCCGACCA
RNAcentral lists this transfer RNA (77 nucleotides) under Alphaproteobacteria bacterium. Its description in RNAcentral is "tRNA-Pro". It matches the Rfam family "tRNA". Rfam says of the family: Transfer RNA (tRNA) molecules are approximately 80 nucleotides in length. Their secondary structure includes four short double-helical elements and three loops (D, anti-codon, and T loops). Lineage: Bacteria; Pseudomonadati; Pseudomonadota; Alphaproteobacteria. The record is from RNAcentral.